UAACCCACAAGCUUUGUUGUCCCACUUUUCAACUUUUGAAUAUUAUUGUUCUCGUAUAUUAUAUUUGGAUAAUACACCACACAAACAAAAUUAACAAAUAUUAUAGCUCUUAAAUUCUUUAUACACACACAUAUGCAUGAUACAUCUACACAUUGCAAAAAAAAAUUGGAAAUCAAAACUCAGACUUCAAUAAUACAAAAGAUCAAAUGGGUCAACAACAUAAAAUAAAUAUGAAAGGAAUAUAAGAACAAUGGUUAUAAGAAUAUUAAAUCAUAGCAUGUACGAAAAUUCCCAAAGUUGUGGCAUUCAUGUCGAGGAAAACUCAUGUCAUUUUCCACAGACAUAUUCAAAAUUUCAUCUCUCAA
Molecule: long non-coding RNA, 365 nt
Filed under: Brassica napus (rape)
Lineage: Eukaryota; Viridiplantae; Streptophyta; Magnoliopsida; Brassicales; Brassicaceae
Description: long non-coding RNA (BNAP_LNC010395)
Source: RNAcentral